RNAcentral lists this long non-coding RNA (964 nucleotides) under Lucilia cuprina (Australian sheep blowfly). RNAcentral's name for it is "uncharacterized LOC124418544, transcript variant X2". The record is from RNAcentral. Lineage: Eukaryota; Metazoa; Arthropoda; Insecta; Diptera; Calliphoridae.
GCAGCACAACAAAACAAAAACAAGACACAACUUUUACUAGGUGAAGGCAUUUUAAAAAGACAACUGAAAAAAGGGCACAAGUGUCAGUGGAAAAUUAAAAUUACAGCAACAACAACUAUAAUAAGAAUGUGAGAAAAAUCACGAAUGACAACAACAACUACUACAUAUUUUAUGGAUAUAGAAAAUAUUGUUAAAGCCACAACAACAACAACAAAAGCCAUCAACGAAAUGUGCGUUCUUUUCGGCUUUCGUUAGCUGGAGAAUUAUUAUUGUUGUUUUUGUUUUACUUGCUCUUCUUCCUGUUUUACACUUCCUCCUCUUCUUAAUGCUCAUCUUCCACAACAAUUCGACAAACGAGAGUGAACAAAAUUUGUGAUUUUUUUUGUUUUUGUUUUUUGGGAAAAAAUAAGGAAAACCAUUCAUUUUUCAUUUCAUAUGAUUUUGAUUUUCUGUUAUGACGAAAAAAAAAACAACUAACAGAAACAACAAAAAAACAGAACACAACAAUUUUUCCUCAUUCAAGUUGGAGCUUUAUAACGUAACGGUUGGCUUGUGCUGGUUUUAACGGUAAAACUAAGUAAACAGGAAACUAAAGUGAAAUUCUAUAAGAAACAAAAAAAAAUGUUCAACGAGGAGUUUUAAAUUUUCAUGUGAAUCUAUUGUGCGGUGUUAGUCACAUCUCUGAUUGAAAAUUCAUUUUAUCGACAUUUUACAAAUUAUAAAUAAAAAUAAAAAAAGUAAAAAAAUAAAUAAAUUUCAUUCAUCUACAACUUUAACUGAGAAUGUCGAUGUAAAAGCAAACUGGUGCAUCUAGAUAUAAAAAAGAAAUACAACCAAAACGAAGGAGAAUAUUAUAACGUACAAAGUUCUAAUAAACUCAUCUUAUGCAUGGCUUGGUGUGUUACAGGUGCAAAACUUGCUUGAUACAAUUAUUUUGAUAAUUAAAACUCAUUUUCAGUUUUUU